RNAcentral lists this small RNA (140 nucleotides) under Escherichia coli LF82. Its description in RNAcentral is "Novel sRNA, function unknown; paralogous to the other QUad sRNA genes". The stretch from base 1 to 117 matches the Rfam family "Short Intergenic Abundant RNA", at positions 35 to 147 of the family's 147-position model. From Rfam's summary of the family: This family contains multiple ncRNA from E. coli that were identified in a large scale screen of E. coli, were they were called candidates 43,55 and 61. These RNAs have also been identified by other groups and called QUAD RNAs. The record is from RNAcentral. Lineage: Bacteria; Pseudomonadati; Pseudomonadota; Gammaproteobacteria; Enterobacterales; Enterobacteriaceae.
GUAAGGGUAAGGGAGGAUGACUCCACCCCUGAGACUGACUGUUAAUAAGCUGGGAAACUUAUGAGUAACAGUACAAUCAGUAUGAUGACAAGUCGCAUCAUAACCCUUCUCCUUCAAGCCCUCGCUUCGGUGAGGGCUUU